RNAcentral lists this small RNA (19 nucleotides) under Arabidopsis thaliana (thale cress). RNAcentral describes it as "ATSL244030". The record is from RNAcentral. Lineage: Eukaryota; Viridiplantae; Streptophyta; Magnoliopsida; Brassicales; Brassicaceae.
UUUUUUCUUUCUUCUUUUU